This is a non-coding RNA of Cordylochernes scorpioides, 72 nucleotides long. NCBI's taxonomy places the organism in Eukaryota, Metazoa, Arthropoda, Arachnida, Pseudoscorpiones, Chernetidae. The record is from the annotation of a GenBank genome assembly.
GGCUGGUAGUCGAGUGGUGUAAACUGUCGGUUUUUGACAGGUACGACCCGGGUUCGAAUCCCGCAUUAGACA